This 1360-nucleotide ribosomal RNA is filed under the name Megabeleses sp. RNAcentral's name for it is "16S ribosomal RNA". The stretch from base 1096 to 1254 matches the Rfam family "Archaeal large subunit ribosomal RNA", at positions 2544 to 2703 of the family's 2987-position model. The record is from RNAcentral. Lineage: Eukaryota; Metazoa; Arthropoda; Insecta; Hymenoptera; Tenthredinidae.
AAAAUAAAAAUUAUUAUUAUUAAUUUAAAAUUAAUUAAUAUUUUAAUAAAAAUAUUUUUAAUAUUAAAAAGUUUAUGUAUUUGGAAAGAUAAAAUUUUUUUUAAUUAUAGUUUAUUAGUAUUGUAAAAGAAUUUUGAAAAAUUUAUUUAAAAUAUUUAUUUAAAAGUAAAUUUAAUUUAUUGUACCUUGUGUAUCAGGGUUUAAUUAAUAAAUAAUAUUUAAUUAUAUUUUUCUCGAAUUUAAAAGAUUUAUUUUAAUAUUAUUUUUAUCGUAGUAAAGAUAUCUUAAAUAUUAAGAUGGUAAUGAUAUGUUAUUCAAUUUUAAAUAUAUCUAGUUUUUUAAUAAAUGAAUUUAAUUCAGAUAUUAUAUUUAAAAAUUAAUUAUUUUUUUUAUUUUUUAUAUAAUAUUAACAUUAUUUGGGAUUAGCUUAAUAAUGUAUUUUUAUAAUAAUUAGUUAUUGAUUUAUUUAAAUAUAUAGUCUUAAAAAUAGAUAAUAUUUAAAAAAUGUUAUAAUUUAAUUAAAUAAUAAAUAUAAAUAUAAUUUAAUAUUUAUUUAAAUUUUUAUUAAAAUAUUUAAUUUAAUUAUUUUUUAAAAGUAAUAAUAUUAAAAUUAGUAAAUUAUAUUGUUGUUAAUUUAAUUAAUAAAAUUAAAGUUUAUUAAAAGGAAUUCGGCAAAAUAAAUUAUACUCACCUGUUUAACAAAAACAUGUCUUUUUGAAUUUAAUUUAAAGUUUAAUCUGCUCAAUGAAUAUAUUAUUUAAAUAGCUGCAGUAUUUUGACUGUACAAAGGUAGCAUAAUAAAUAGUCUUUUAAUUAAAGGCUAGAAUGAAUGAUUGAAUGAAGUAUAAACUGUCUCUAAAUAAAUAUUAUUUUAAUUUAAUUUUUAAGUUAAAAAGCUUAAAUAAUUUUAAAGGACGAGAAGACCCUAUAGAAUUUUAUAUAUUUAUUAUUACAUAUUAAUUAAUUAAUUUAUUUAUUAUAUAAGUAUAUUUUAUUGGGGUGAUAAGAAAAUUUAAUGAACUUUUUUAUUAUAAUUACAUUAAUAAAUGAAUUUAUGAUCCUUUAUUUAAGAUUAAUAGAAUAAAUUACCUUAGGGAUAACAGCGUUAUUUUUUUUUUGAGUUCUUAUUUAUAAAAAAGAUUGCGACCUCGAUGUUGGAUUAAAAUUUAAUUUAGGUGCAGUAGCUUAAAUUUUAGGUCUGUUCGACCUUUAAAAUUUUACAUGAUCUGAGUUCAGACCGGCGUGAGCCAGGUUGGUUUCUAUCCUUAAAAAAAUAAAAGUUUUUAGUACGAAAGGACCAAAAUUUUAUAAUAAUUUAUAAAAUAAUAAUUGAAUAUUAUUAAUAAUCAGUAAAAUUAAA